This 492-nucleotide ribosomal RNA is filed under the name uncultured bacterium. RNAcentral describes it as "partial 16S ribosomal RNA". It matches the Rfam family "Bacterial small subunit ribosomal RNA", at positions 29 to 507 of the family's 1533-position model. The record is from RNAcentral.
AGUGAACGCUGGCGGUAGGCCUAACACAUGCGAGUCGAACGGCAGCACAGUAAGAGCUUGCUCUUACGGGUGGCGAGUGGCGGACGGGUGAGGAAUACAUCGGAAUCUACUUUUUCGUGGGGGAUAACGUAGGGAAACUUACGCUAAUACCGCAUACGACCUACGGGUGAAAGCAGGGGAGCUUCGGACCUUGCGCGAUUGAAUGAGCCGAUGUCGGAUUAGCUAGUUGGCGGGGUAAAGGCCCACCAAGGCGACGAUCCGUAGCUGGUCUGAGAGGAUGAUCAGCCACACUGGAACUGAGACACGGUCCAGACUCCUACGGGAGGCAGCAGUGGGGAAUAUUGGACAAUGGGCGCAAGCCUGAUCCAGCCAUACCGCGUGGGUGAAGAAGGCCUUCGGGUUGUAAAGCCCUUUUGUUGGGAAAGAAAAGCAGCAGGUUAAUACCCCGCUGUUCUGACGGUACCCAAAGAAUAAGCACCGGCUAACUUCGUG